Molecule: ribosomal RNA, 388 nt
Filed under: Phycisphaerales bacterium
Lineage: Bacteria; Pseudomonadati; Planctomycetota; Phycisphaerae; Phycisphaerales
Description: bacterial SSU rRNA
Rfam family: Bacterial small subunit ribosomal RNA
Source: RNAcentral
CAACUGAAGAGUUUGAUCCUGGCUCAGAUUGAACGCUGGCGGCAUGGCUAAAACAUGCAAGUCGCACGAGAACCCCUUCGGGGGGGACAGUGGCGAAAGGGCGAGGAAUACAAUCGAACGUACCCCGAGGUGGGGGAUAGGUCGUGGAAACGCGGCGUAAUACCCCAUGUGCUCUCCGGAGGAAAGCUUUGGCGCCUUGGGAGCGGCGAUUGUCCUAUCAGGUAGUUGGUGAGGUAACGGCUCACCAAGCCGAAGACGGGUAGCGGGCGUGAGAGCGUGGCCCGCCGCAUCGGGACUGAGACACUGCCCGGACUCCUACGGGAGGCUGCAGUAACGAAUCUUCCGCAAUGGGCGAAAGCCUGACGGAGCAAUGCCGCGUGUGGGAUGA